GAGUAAUAGAUGAUGGUGUCUCCAAGAGUACUACAACUGUGGAUGAAGUUAAGAUGCACUUAGAUUAUCAAAAACUUUAGAGCUAAACGAACAUUUUAAAUGGUUGUUAGGUUGGCUAGAGUUUAGGGCCAUAAGAAGGGAUCAUGAGCAUUUUAUGAGAUCAAGGAUGCCUUUUGUUUUGUCAUAGAACUAGGCAGACUUGAUAACUAUAGUAAAGAAAGCUUUGUGACAACAAAAGUCGAGAAGGGAAAGUCUCUCUCUCUCUCUCUCUAUCCCCGUUCCCUUCCCUCUCCUUUCUCUGUAUGUGUGUGUUUGUCCGUCUCUCAGUCAAUCAUAAAUGACAUAACAUGUGCAAUAAUAUAGAGCUAGCAAGGGUUUGGUGUGUAAGGGAUUUCAUAUAUAGGUCGAAGUAUUGGAUAAGAGACAAGGUGGAGUCCAGAGAUGAAAUAAAGUUGGAUGCUGGCGCAGAUAGAAGCAUCUGCAGGAGCUUUUUUAUUUGGAGGGCUUGACCUUGAACAAUAGGAAUGGUGAAGUUAAAUUAGAAAAAUCAAUACCCUAGAAAUGGGGUUAAACUUAUUGUUCAUGACCAUGCUCUUGAUUAUUUAGAUAAAAAAGAAAUGCUUUUCUUUUAAUCACAAUGGCUUCACAAACUAAUUUAAUUCUGAAGUAGUAUCAGCUUACAACAAAGUUCUUUAAUAAUUCUACAAUUUGAGCCACUUGUCACUGAUAUAUGAUCAUUGUCUAAGAAAAUUUAUAGUCAACCUUAUUAUAGGCAUGUGCAUGUUGACCAGUUGCUUUGUAUAAGCAAGAUUGCUAUAAACUAAUUUUUCAGCAAGGUUUUGCCAUUUGACGUUUCAACAUUUUGUUCCUUUUUUUGCAUCAUCAUCACAAUCAAUGAAAAACCAUUAUGAAUAGUGUCCUUUAUCAGAAUUACCAGGCAAAAUAACUUUUUUUUUGUUUUUCAAAUUCAUUCAUCUUUACACUCCCAACCCCCUUCUACUUAUUUCUCUUAUUUCCAUUUGUAACAUUUAUGCGAUAUUUGCUAUUUUCCUCUUGCCAAAAUAUGGAAUGCUUGGAUUGAUCAUCUCAAUUUAGAAUCUUAAUAUGAUGAAUUAUGGUUGAAGUUACCAUUCAACAUCAAAACAGCCUUUGUGUAAUGGUAAGCUUGCUCUGUUGUGACCUUAGUGUCAUGGCUCGAAACAAGAAAAUAGUCUCUGGGGUAAAGCUGUAUAUAUUUGACCUUCCCUAGACCCUAUAAUAACAGGAGCCUCGUACAAUGGGUUGCCCUUUUAUGGUUGAAGCUACCAUUAGUUUUAGGUGGUGGGUAUUAUUGCAUUAUCUUUUUCGAUGACUUGUAGAAUAUUGUUGAAGGACAACUAUUAGUAGCUGUGAUAUAUUGUUCAUUGAAGUCCAUUUUGGCUCAUAAAAUGAUGGGUGAACUGUCAAGGAUUAAAGAGAGGUUGAAUGGACCUUGAGGGAGAUGCUUGAAUUGUAGUUCCUUGGUGGGAGAGUAUGGGGCAGAAACAAGUAUUGUAGAUUAUGUAAAGUUGCCUGCUUACCACUUUGCAGAAAAGGAUAGGCAGAGGGCAAAUGAUUGGCGAUCUGAGUUUAAAGCUUUAGUCAUGAAAAUUAGAGCUUUGACAUGUAAACAUAGGGUUUGACAUGCUUAUCCUUCAUGAGGACGAGGUCAUAUCAAAUGAGUAUGAUAUUUAUUGGAGGUCGACACUUUUAUUUAAUAAAGUGCAAAAACAUGAAUGCAAACAAGUUUUAAAUGUUGUAGUCUUCUCACUUUCAUAAAAACUGAGGCCAUUAGCAUAUUACUCAAGACUCAAAAGAAGCUUAGACAAAUACAAGCAUUAUGCUAGCUUAUUUCUGAGGCAAGCUGCAAGAAAUCACGAUCAUAGCAAGCAGAUUUAUAAUCUUAUAGAGCUAAGAAAUUAUGUUUUAUAACUGAUAAGAAACCUCAAAGAUCUUAACCAUGUAGGUUAAUGAAAAGCUUUUAGAUAAUUAAGUUAUGGUCGCAUCUUUGUUAUUAAUGAGAAAGCCUUUUGUUAAUGGAUUUCUAUUUUCUAGGUGGAUUGCCUUCUUGCCAGACUUUUACAGUCACUUUUGGAGUCUCUUUUGCACCAAUAUGGGGAAAGAAAAGAAAAGAAAGCGACUGACAUCUCCAGACUCCAGACAUGCAACAACUUAUAUUUUCAGGCAAAUAAUUUAAAAAAAGAAAAGAAAAAGUACCUGGCUUGCCACAUCUCCCUCUUUUUCAUGGCACGUGGCCAGUUCUAGUAUUAUUUGAAGAGUCAAGCAUAAUGCAGUUAAAACCCAUUGAAACCUUAAACAUAGUUGAUUCUGACACAAUUCAAGUAUGAAGAUAACUAUAUUAAAUGAUCAAGUCUCAAUAAUGCACCAAAUUUGUACCAUACUCCCAAGUCCCAAAUUUUGUUGACAAGGAUAAAAGGCUUGAAACAGAUUUCCAGGUAAUCAUGCUAUACUUUCAGAAAAAUAACAGAAAAAACUCAAGUCCCAAUCUUCAGAGUUUUUAUGAUAGCAUAAAUACACCAGAAACACUUGACAGAUGGAGCUAGCUAUAAGUUUCUUCUUUUUUCCAAACAAGCUCCGAAAAUCAUUACCACCAAUGCUAUCAUUGUAGUUUGUAAUGAGCAUUUUUGUUCGAAACCUGGGCACUUUGGUUAUUGAGAGCCUCCUGGCACUAUCUACAGUAAAUAGAAAUUAAUGCAGUGGAUGUUUUAUGCUUGCUGAACAAAGUGCAUGUCCUGCUAUAUAGUUUUGUAAGUUGCUGCCUGCUAAGAAUUUGGGGCAUGUGAGAUCCAAAUCUGACACGUCUAUUGUGCAAACUUUUUGCUAAGACAAUUGUUGUUUUGCAAGUGCUCUCUUGUAAUGUACAUUUGGUCUCUCUGUACGUAUUCUUGCCUAUAGUAGUAGUGCUAGAUUCUUCUGAUCUAAAAUCAUACUGUACCAUGUGUUUGCAUUCCUGAUGAUGCUUUUCAAUGUUUUGCAAUUUAUCUAUAACUGAAGUUAUUCUCGUGUUUAGGCAUGCUGACUGGGUCUGAGACUUUCUGCAUGAUUUCAAUUUUUUCUUUUUAUGGCGGGGAUUGGGAACCAUUUACCUCUGAAAUCGUUAAAAGUUGGAUAUGCUUUUAAUUCUCAACUCAGGCAUCCUGUUAAUUUUUGUAGUUCAGCACAAUUAACUUGGUUUGCACUACUUCAAUCUCCUGUUCGGUGUUUGUAAUGCAAAAAAAAAAACUCAUUAAUUAGUUGUUAUUGGUGUUAUAACAUCUAUUACCUCUGUGCAAGAAUGUUGCCUAACUUUUUACCCCUCACUGGCUGCAAUUGCAGAUGCUGUACUGUACAAGUUUGAGUUGGAGCGCUGAUGGAAGCACCUUGUUUACUGGUUACACUGAUGGUACCAUCAGAGUCUGGGAAAUCACUCGUUAUUAGAGAUGGGCACCUAGGUGGAAGUCUCUUUUUUUGCAACAUCUUUUAAUUUUUCCAGAUGAACAUGUGGUAUCAAUUUCAUAUUUAUUGUUGCAUUUUACCAGAUACAUGUUUGGAGAUUAAAUAUUUUCUUAUUGGAUUUAAAGGUUAUUCCAUAGCUUUUCUAAAGUAACCUCUGAAUGGACGGAUAUUCUCAUCUUUGAUGCUGUAUGAGUGCUGUUUUGAUCCCUUUUAAAUCUUCGAUAAUGAAUGCUUUCUACAUGGGAAAAUAGUUCCUUCACCUGUUGUAUAGAUCAUAGCGUGGAAUUUGCUUUUCUCUGGGUUGUUCGAAUAUUUUUUUUCUCUCUUGAAUAAAACAAAUGUCAGGUAUAUCGGGGCACGAAUUCUAUAUCUGAACUUGAACUAGUUGGAAAGGAGGGUUGUAUCUUGCUAUUUUGUUGUUGAUAAAUUGAUUAAAAAAAUCCUCAAUUAGGUUACACUUUGCUGGCAAAUAAAAAAAAAUUCUAAGAGGACACUCAAAAGAUAUGCACGAAUAGCCUUACUUGAGUGGAGGAUGAUGUGAGAUACUCUUUAUAAGAUGCUUUUUUUGAUACUAAGAGCUUCAUAGCUUGCAAAGGUUGAGACUUUAUAUAAAUAUUUUAUUAUUAAUAGUGUUCUGUUGAGAAAUAACAAAAAUAGAUUAAUCGAACUAGGAAUCUAUUUCUACAUAAAUAAGCAAGCAAUCGAAGAGGAGAAAAACCUUCUUGUAGAAAGUUUUUCCCCUCUUUUCUGCUGGAAAAGGAAAAAGAAGUAGUUUUGUCGCUCUUCCUUUUUUCUUAAACUUGCCACAUUACCCUGCCGGGGGAUAAUAAGGCUUAAUUCUUCCUUUCCCUAGUAAUAUGGGUUAGUGUUAAGGAGCCCUUGUAUUAAUCUGCCUCAACUAACUUUUUAUUAUCAGGGUACUUCAACUCUCGUGGAUGGCUACGAAGGCAAGUAUCCUGACGCAUUUGUCUAUUCAUUGAGCUGAAAAAUGAAAAAAAAAGCCAACCAUGUUAUUCAAUGGUAUAAUAGCCAAUGAUCAAAAACUUCUUGAAUUAAAACCAUCUAUUAAUUCCUUUUAAAAUAAAUCAAAGUGCAUAACUGAUACUGAGUCGCAUAUUUUAUUAUCUGGUUAACUUACAAACCAGUGGUUGUAGUGAUGUUGAAGGCUCAGAUCCUUAUCUAAGCUUUUUUUGAUCUCAUUGGCAUACUACAUUGAGAGGAGCAAAAUGCACAUAACUUGGAGCUUAAUGUCAAACCCACCUUCGUUGUAUGUCUUAUGCCUUAUCACCUCUUCAAAAUCUUGCUUUGUAUUCUCUAAAAUUUAAUAGGAGAUUCUUAAAUACCUUCCAUUUGAGAAUCAAACCAAACAUCUCUUUAGUUAGAAAUUUUAUCAUAUUAAAAUAAUUCCGGAAAAAUAUGUUUUUGUUUUUCUGAAAUACAAUAAUCACUUGUGUCUCAUAAUUAUUACCACAUUAAAUACAACAGACAUGAUGUUAUACAUUGAAUGAGUAUUGGUUAAAAGCUUCCACAUAAGUUUCUAUGGGAUAUUUUGGAUAUUUUAAUCAUUCCCACAAUAAAAGAGAGGUGUCUAUGGAUCGAAACAAACACUGAUUAGUACGAAGACUCAAAAACAAAAAUGUCACUAAUAAUAAGCUAGACUGCCAUAAACCCUAUCUGGAUUUUGAAGAGGUUUGGAUGUCAUUAGGUAAGAUUAUAAAGGUGCAAUUCUACCCAUGCUUGUGAGAUUUACGCUGAUCGUGCACGCGAUGCAUGAAAUUCCCCAUCUUAUGAUAGAUUGCAUGGAUCAAUUGGCUGCCAAAAUUUUGCAAAGUUUAUGUAAGGCAUAUGCCAUAUGACUAGUCCAAGCAUACUAUGUUUAACUAUAUCAUGAAGUUAUUCCGCUGAGCCUAAAGCACUCUCUCUCUCUGAGUUGGGAGACAAGAAAAGGAGCACCUCCAUAAUAUGAAGUUAGACGGGGUUUCAUGUGAAAAAAAAAAUCUACGAAAAACCACUCAUUGGGUUCAUCGUCAUCGCCAUCUCGGGCCGGCCGUGAAUCCCACUCGCGGCAACUCAAAUUGCCGGUUAAAAGUAACCAAACACAAAUUAGCGGCCGAGAUAUUUUCUAGGUAUAAUGAACGGCAGAUCUAGGAGAUCGCAUGUAUCUAUUUACGCGUGAGUCCGGACAGGACCUUGACUCGAUGUCAGUGCCCUCACGCGAAUUCUAUACGGACUCUCGCGUAGGAGUUCCUCCGUUCUCCCCCCUCCCCCUCCCGCUCGCCGGUAACCCGCCCAAUCCUAGCCCUAAUCCACUCACCAUCAAUCCGCCGGCGAUCAAGAACAAUAGGAGAUCCAAAAGUCCAUUCUCUCUCUCUCUCUCUUCUCUCCUCCC
Molecule: long non-coding RNA, 5863 nt
Filed under: Phoenix dactylifera (date palm)
Lineage: Eukaryota; Viridiplantae; Streptophyta; Magnoliopsida; Arecales; Arecaceae
Description: long non-coding RNA (PDAC_LNC000340)
Source: RNAcentral